Long non-coding RNA from Carassius auratus (goldfish), 747 nucleotides. RefSeq lists it as uncharacterized. The transcript is spliced from 2 exons. The record is from RefSeq and is a predicted model, not a curated record. NCBI's taxonomy places the organism in Eukaryota, Metazoa, Chordata, Actinopteri, Cypriniformes, Cyprinidae.
GAGAAAAGGAGAGAGAGCGAGGCUUUGCUGAGGAGGGGAGUGCAGCAGCCUGCAGCACACUGAAAGAGAGAGGGCGAGAGAAGGCUGUUAUACGAUGGAGUUCUCAUGUGGCCCGGGCCGAGAGUGACAGCCCAAGUCUGACGGAACAAAAAAGUACCGAAAUGACAACUUGAUAAAAGCGAAAUGACUUUCCGUCUGUGUUUUGCCGAGAGCAAGGUAAAAGGUGCAGAGAGCAUGAAUAAAAGAGUGAUGGGCGGCGGAGAAAUCUGUCAGCUGAAGAGUGUGAUGUCUGCGCACUGAUGCCUGUGUUUGUCUGGGUCAGGGUUACAUUGACGUAGCGGACCAAAUUUGGUGAGUGUGUGCACGUGUAUGAGACAUGGGGGGUCAGCGGGUUCAGAAAGGCUGAGCGGUUCUAUUGCUCGGCCGUGAUUUUCUUCUCCUCGGUUGCAGCUGCUUCACCUCAUCAAGACAAAAAUGACCUGCAGUAAAUGGAUCACUUUUUAAAUGCUACUGUGUUUCAACAACAGUGUGGAUUGUGGCACAAAAAUCCGCCGAAGAAUCUCUGCAACAGCCUGUAUAUAUAAUUUAUGUUUUUAAAAAUAUAUAUUUAGCUGUAUGUUCCUGUUUAAGAUGGUCAGAAAAGCCUGGCCAAACUGGUUUAGCUAGUCACCCAGUGUUUGGGUUCUGCUAGUUUAGCAAGUCAGAAAGAUAGUCUUCCAGUCUGGCCAGCAAAAAAAAAAAAAAAAC